This 471-nucleotide ribosomal RNA is filed under the name Onchocerca sp. type A. Its description in RNAcentral is "partial 12S ribosomal RNA". The record is from RNAcentral. Lineage: Eukaryota; Metazoa; Nematoda; Chromadorea; Rhabditida; Onchocercidae.
UACGUUUUGAUUUUUAACUCUAUUUGUUGUAGUAUUUUAAACUUUUAUAUAUUUUUUACUUUAUUUUUUGUAAAAUGUUUUAAUUUGAUUUUGUUUUUUUAAGAUAUUAAAAAUUUGGUUUUUGAACUGGAUUAGUACCCAGGUAAUCAAAGUUUAUUAAUUCGGGAGUAAAGUUUUGUUUAAACCGAAAAAAUAUUGACUGACCUUAGAUUUUUCUUUGGAAUAUGUGUUUUGCUGGAGAGCCCUCUUUUUUGGUGAAUUUUGUUGGCACAUGUAUGAUUGUUUAGUUUUUAUUUUAUUUUGUAAUGCUUUUUGUGUUGGCAUUUAAAACAGAUAUAUACUUGGCUUAUAAAUUUAUUUUUCAUGUGUUACUAUUAUAAAUUUUUUUUGGAUUAAUUUUUUAUUUUUUUUUUGAAAUUGGAAAAGAAAGUAAUUUUUUCUUAAUGUUUUGAUGAAUUUAAUAAAUAAGGU